GGCAGGCCUCCUUGAGCUGUGGUGGGCUCCACCCAGUUGGAGCUUCCUAAGCAAGCCUGGGCAAUGGCGGGCGCCCCUCCCCCAGCCUCGCUGCCGCCUUGCAGUUUGAUCUCAGACUGCUGUGCUAUCAAUCAGUGAGACUCCGUGGGCGUAGGACCCUCCAAGCCAGGUGCCGGAUAUAAUCUCGUGGUGCGCCGUUUUUUAAGCCCGUCGGAAAAGCGCAGUAUUCGGGUGGAAGUGGCCCGAUUUUCCAGGUGCGUCCGUCACCCCUUUCUUUGACUCGGAAAGGGAACUCCCUGACCCCUUGCGCUUCCCAAGUGAGGCAAUGCGUCACCCUGCUUCGGCUCGCGCACGGUGCGUGCACCCACUGACCUGCGACCACUGUCUGGCACUCCCUAGUGAGAUGAACCCUGUACCUCAGAUGGAAAUGCAGAAAUCACCCGUCUUCUGCGUCGCUCAUGCUGGGAGCUGUAGACUGGAGCUGUUCCUAUUCGGCCAUCUUGGCUCUUCCCCCGUUUUACAAUUUAAAGGUAAAGACCUUCACAAUCGGGAACCCGUAGAUUGGAUCUUCUGAAAACAUCAGAGAAAGACUAUCUUUGCCAUCCACACUACAGUAAAACUUUGGAGCCUUGAACCUUGGAUUUAUAAUCUCACAACUGAGAAGGGUCCCUCCAUACUCCUGGAACUGUACACCCAUUGGAACUCUUAAGGUAAAACUAACCAGGAAAGUUUCUCCCCAGAAAAAGAUGGCAUCCUUGAUGUGAACAGCUUUUCCCAAGAUCACAGGUCAAAACUUCUACUAUCAUGAGACUCUUACCUUUGAAUAUUUUUACCUUGUUUAUGCCUCUAUGAGCAACAGAAAUGAAAAGUGGGUCUAUAAUGUGCACUUAUAGGGUAUAAUUUUAUUUGUGAAGGAUUUUGCGGGAAGCCAGCCUUAUACAUAAAUAAACUUAUACUUUAAUAGAUAAAAGAUGAAGGCCCAAGGUGGGUGAGAAACUUUAGUGGUACAUAUGUUGACUCAUAAUCAGUCAAAACUCCUCUUAACCCACAUCAUGGAUUAAAGAGAACAUUGCCAGGAGGCCUUCACUCUUCUAGAAGGACAUAAUUUGUUAGGUCCUUUUUCCAUGGUUUAGAAUACAAGAGGCAAUAAUUAGAAAUGUCUCCCUCUUAAUAGGCAUGGGUUCAAAUAAGGCAAACGUGGAGCUGUAGCCAAUCUCGCUGUUUGUGUACCUCACUUCUGAUUCCUGUGUGUCACUUUAACAUUUUUGUCUAUACAUUUUUUCUGACCAGGAGACACCCCUGGAGUCUGUGAAUCUGCUGUGAUUCUGGGGGCUGCCCGAAUCAUGAAUCAUUCAUUGCUCAAUUAAACUCCUUUAAGUUUAAUUUGGCUGAAGUUUUUCUUUUAUCACACCCUUGCCCCAUGAGCCAGGGAAAGGGCAACUGAGGCCGCAGUAUUUUCAGUGGCACCAAGGUACAC
RNAcentral lists this long non-coding RNA (1477 nucleotides) under Homo sapiens (human). Its description in RNAcentral is "HSALNT0194057". Lineage: Eukaryota; Metazoa; Chordata; Mammalia; Primates; Hominidae. The record is from RNAcentral.